CCUACGGGAGGCAGCAGUGAGGAAUAUUGGUCAAUGGGCGGAAGCCUGAACCAGCCAAGUAGCGUGCAGGAUGACGGCCCUACGGGUUGUAAACUGCUUUUAUACGGGAAUAACGCGCCUUACGUGUAGGGCUUUGCAUGUACCGUAUGAAUAAGGACCGGCUCAUUCCGUGCCAGCAGCCGCGCUAAUACGGAGGGUCCGGGCGUUAUCCGGAUUUCUGGGGUUUAAAGGGAGCGUAGGCCGCAUGUCAAGCGUGCUGUGAAAUGUCCGGGCUCCACCCGGGCCUUGCAGCGGGAACUGGCGGGCGGGAGUGCGCGGAGGGAAGGCGGAAGUCGGGGUGUAGCGGGG
RNAcentral lists this ribosomal RNA (348 nucleotides) under uncultured bacterium. RNAcentral's name for it is "partial 16S ribosomal RNA". It matches the Rfam family "Bacterial small subunit ribosomal RNA", at positions 338 to 683 of the family's 1533-position model. The record is from RNAcentral.